Molecule: ribosomal RNA, 500 nt
Filed under: uncultured bacterium
Lineage: Bacteria
Description: partial 16S ribosomal RNA
Rfam family: Bacterial small subunit ribosomal RNA
Source: RNAcentral
AUUGAACGCUGGCGGAAUGCUUUACACAUGCAAGUCGAACAGCAGCACGGACUUCGGUCUGGUGGCGAGUGGCGAACGGGUGAGUAAUGUAUCGGAACGUGCCCAGUCGUGGGGGAUAACGUAGUGAAAAUUACGCUAAUACCGCAUACGAUCUAUGGAUGAAAGCGGGGGAUCGCAAGACCUCGCGCGAUUGGAGCGGCCGAUAUCAGAUUAGGUAGUUGGUGGGGUAAAGGCCCACCAAGCCAACGAUCUGUAGCUGGUCUGAGAGGAUGACCAGCCACACUGGAACUGAGACACGGUCCAGACUCCUACGGGAGGCAGCAGUGGGGAAUUUUGGACAAUGGGCGAAAGCCUGAUCCAGCCAUUCCGCGUGCAGGAUGAAGGCCCUCGGGUUGUAAACUGCUUUUGUACAGAACGAAAGGGUUUCUACUAAUACUAGGAGCUCAUGACGGUACUGUAAGAAUAAGCACCGGCUAACUACGUGCCAGCCGCCGCAGUAA